CCCACAUCUUCCUUCUUUCUCUCACAAAAAUAAAUUUAAAAAAACCACCAAAAAAAAUUGGCCUAGCUUCUAUCUUCCUUCAUCCCCUAUGUUUAGCUUCUUGUCUUUGCUUGUUUCAUGCCAAUUUCAAAGGGCAUGUGUUCAAAUAACUUGAACACCCCACAAUUAAUUUGAUUAUGACCCUCAUGAGCUCCUAAUAUUUGCCUCAGAUCUCUGUUUAUCUACUUAAAUCUUUUCUAGCUCUGGAUAUUUAUGAUCAUGAAGCACCACAAGACAUUUCUUGUCCAUGCAAACAUUCAGAAUCCCAUUAAUUGAUGCACAUAUUCGUUAACACAUGCAUAUAUGAGUUACAAAAUCAUGCAUAUUAUACCUAUGUCUAUAUAUUUAUAAUUAUGUGCCUGGC
This 403-nucleotide long non-coding RNA is filed under the name Citrus maxima (pomelo). RNAcentral describes it as "long non-coding RNA (CMAX_LNC003001)". The record is from RNAcentral. Lineage: Eukaryota; Viridiplantae; Streptophyta; Magnoliopsida; Sapindales; Rutaceae.